Molecule: ribosomal RNA, 447 nt
Filed under: uncultured bacterium
Lineage: Bacteria
Description: bacterial SSU rRNA
Rfam family: Bacterial small subunit ribosomal RNA
Source: RNAcentral
UCCAGACUCCUACGGGAGGCAGCAGUGGGGAAUAUUGCACAAUGGGGGGAACCCUGAUGCAGCGACGCCGCGUGGGUGAAGGAGUAUUUCGGUAUGUAAAGCCCUAUCAGCAGGGAAGAACAAUGACGGUACCUGACUAAGAAGCACCGGCUAAAUACGUGCCAGCAGCCGCGGUAAUACGUAUGGUGCAAGCGUUAUCCGGAUUUACUGGGUGUAAAGGGAGCGCAGGCGGCGCGUUAAGCCUGGUGUGAAAGCCCGCGGCCCAACCGCGGGACUGCAUUGGGAACUGGCGCGCUGGAGUGCCGGAGGGGUAGGCGGAAUUCCUAGUGUAGCGGUGAAAUGCGUAGAUAUUAGGAGGAACACCAGUGGCGAAGGCGGCUUGCUGGACGAUGACUGACGUUGAGGCUCGAAAGCGUGGGGAGCAAACAGGAUUAGAUACCCGCGUAG